GUGGGGUAACGGCCUACCAAGGCGACGACGGGUAGCCGGCCUGAGAGGGCGACCGGCCACACUGGGACUGAGACACGGCCCAGACUCCUACGGGAGGCAGCAGUGGGGAAUAUUGCGCAAUGGGCGAAAGCCUGACGCAGCGACGCCGCGUGGGGGAUGAAGGCCUUCGGGUUGUAAACCCCUUUCAGCAGGGACGAAGCGAAAGUGACGGUACCUGCAGAAGAAGCGCCGGCUAACUACGUGCCAGCAGCCGCGGUAACACGUAGGGCGCAAGCGUUGUCCGGAAUUAUUGGGCGUAAAGAGCUCGUAGGCGGUCUGUUGCGUCCGCUGUGAAAACUCGGGGCUUAACCCCGAGCCUGCAGUGGAUACGGGCAGACUAGAGGUAGGUAGGGGAGAAUGGAAUUCCCGGUGUAGCGGUGAAAUGCGCAGAUAUCGGGAGGAACACCGGUGGCGAAGGCGGUUCUCUGGGCCUUACCUGACGCUGAGGAGCGAAAGCGUGGGGAGCGAACAGGAUUAGAUACCCUGGUAGUCCACGCCGUAAACGUUGGGCGCUAGGUGUGGGAUCCUUCCACGGAUUCCGUGCCGCAGCUAACGCAUUAAGCG
This 603-nucleotide ribosomal RNA is filed under the name uncultured bacterium. Its description in RNAcentral is "bacterial SSU rRNA". It matches the Rfam family "Bacterial small subunit ribosomal RNA", at positions 252 to 866 of the family's 1533-position model. The record is from RNAcentral.